RNAcentral lists this microRNA (23 nucleotides) under Ornithorhynchus anatinus (platypus). RNAcentral's name for it is "Oan-Mir-1355_5p (mature (guide))". The record is from RNAcentral. Lineage: Eukaryota; Metazoa; Chordata; Mammalia; Monotremata; Ornithorhynchidae.
UGUUCCAGUUUUGAGAGGAGUGU